This 1507-nucleotide long non-coding RNA is filed under the name Macaca fascicularis (crab-eating macaque). Its description in RNAcentral is "lncRNA (ENSMFAG00000050043.1)". Lineage: Eukaryota; Metazoa; Chordata; Mammalia; Primates; Cercopithecidae. The record is from RNAcentral.
UACAAAGGCGUUUAGUUUAUUCUCAUCAGUAUCACUGAUAUUCUCAUGGUUCACAUUUGCCAACGCCGCUCCUCUCCUUACAGUAGUUAAAUGUGCAAUCUCACUUGGGGGCCCAGGGAGGGAUGGGGGCUCGGCCCAGGGUGGGGAGGGCGUUGGCACUUCACGUGGACAGGGUGGGCAGCCUGUCCUACGUGAAAGAGGUGUGGGUGAGUGGGCGGCCAGGGAAGGGGAGUUGGCAGGGGAGGGCCCCACAGUCUUUUUUCUCUGGUGGUUGGUGAUUCUCCAUUCAGACUCCUUCCUGGCUGCCCAGGGUGGGGGAACCAUGCAGCUCAGGGCAGGACAGGGGAGGAAGAGAAGGAAAAAGCAGCAGGCCGCCCGGGGGGAGGGGUGGAGGGUGAAUGGCAGGGCAAGGGGGGCACAGGGGUGGCUCCUGGGGUAAGGCACAACCCUGUCUUUGGCUCUCCUGGUGAGGAGUUUCCUCCCCUGCACCCCCUGCCCCACCCUUCUUCCCCCCCAUCCCCCAGACCCACACACAGUCCCGGGAGCCAGGGGGCACCUCCUGGGGUCCCUGAAACAAGUGGGCUCUGCCACCCAAGCCAGUGCCACAGGGGCUCGAAGAGGGACACCCAAGGAAAAGGCAGAGAGGGGCAGGCAGGGGCCUACCCAGGACAAGGGGUGGGGGAGCUUCCUUUCGGGGGUCUGGCUGGAGCCCCGGUCUGCCCCUCGGCCUCUGUCAGGCCCAGCUGCUUGCCAAGUGACCAGGGCAUUGUGCUUUGGGGUAAACGCUGGGGUGGGGUGGCAGGCCAGGAGGCAGGGGGAGAGGAGGGGCGACUAAGGUGCUUGUGCUUUAGCUGGGGGUGUCAACAUCCCCCACUCAGACCGGCUGGGGGCUAAGGUGCCAGGCCCCAGCCAGGAAGACAGUGCCAAGACCCCAGCCAGACCCUGGCACUCAUGACUGACCCCCGCAACAAGCAGAUGUUAAAAGGGACCCCCAGUAGGCCGGUGGGGCUGCUGGUCCCAUCAGGGGGAUGGUCUCCGAAUCAGAUUCCAAGGGUCCAGUCGGGGCUGGCCCCCACUCCAUCUCCUGAAAUCCCCCUGCCCCUGGAGAGACCCCUGGGAGCAGUGGGUAGGCAGGGGUUGGGGAGGCAGAGGGGAGGCAGAGGAGAGGCAGAGGAGAGGCAGGGAGGACGAGGGCCAGAAACACAAACAAGGAUGUGGAUGGUGAAAUGACACCCCGCGUAGGGGGAUGGGGAGUUUAAAAAAAAAACUCUCUGCCUUCACAUGAAAAUCUAAAACAACAACAAAAAACCACCCACUCUGGGUGAGAACAAAAAGAGAGGAAUGGUAAAAGAGAAAAUUCUGCAAACAACUGCUAACAAUGGAAGUGGACCCGGCCGGCCCGGCCCUGCCCUGCCCUGCCCUGCCCUGCCCAGCCCAGCCCAGCCGCCAGGAGCUGGGCCCAGCCAACCAACCAAGGCCUGGGACGCCCUUAAACUAUAGCCCUGUU